This 434-nucleotide ribosomal RNA is filed under the name uncultured bacterium. RNAcentral describes it as "partial 16S ribosomal RNA". It matches the Rfam family "Bacterial small subunit ribosomal RNA", at positions 27 to 507 of the family's 1533-position model. The record is from RNAcentral.
GAACGAACGCUGGCGGCAUGCCUACCACAUGCAAGUCGAACGAGACCUUCGGGUCUAGUGGCGCACGGGUGCGUAACGCGUGGGAACCUGCCCUUAGGUUCGGAAUAACUCCCCGAAAGGGGUGCCAAUACCGGAUAAUGUCUUCGGACCAAAGAUUUAUCGCCUUUGGAUGGGCCCGCGUUGGAUUAGCUAGUUGGUAGGGUAAAAGCCUACCAAGGCGACGAUCCAUAGCUGGUCUGAGAGGAUGAUCAGCCACACUGGGACUGAGACACGGCCCAGACUCCUACGGGAGGCAGCAGUGGGGAAUAUUGGACAAUGGGCGAAAGCCUGAUCCAGCAAUGCCGCGUGAGUGAUGAAGGCCUUAGGGUUGUAAAGCUCUUUUACCCGGGAUGAUAAUGACAGUACCGGGAGAAUAAGCUCCGGCUAACUCCGUG